GAAGCAGGGCGGAACGAUGUGU
Molecule: microRNA, 22 nt
Filed under: Bos taurus (domestic cattle)
Lineage: Eukaryota; Metazoa; Chordata; Mammalia; Artiodactyla; Bovidae
Description: bta-miR-2286
Source: miRBase by way of RNAcentral